GGGAAUAUUGGACAAUGGGCGCAAGCCUGAUCCAGCCAUGCCGCGUGAGUGAUGAAGGCCCUAGGGUUGUAAAGCUCUUUCACCGGUGAAGAUAAUGACGGUAACCGGAGAAGAAGCCCCGGCUAACUUCGUGCCAGCAGCC
Molecule: ribosomal RNA, 142 nt
Filed under: alpha proteobacterium H79
Lineage: Bacteria; Pseudomonadati; Pseudomonadota; Alphaproteobacteria
Description: partial 16S ribosomal RNA
Rfam family: Bacterial small subunit ribosomal RNA
Source: RNAcentral